This 435-nucleotide ribosomal RNA is filed under the name uncultured bacterium. Its description in RNAcentral is "partial 16S ribosomal RNA". It matches the Rfam family "Bacterial small subunit ribosomal RNA", at positions 28 to 507 of the family's 1533-position model. The record is from RNAcentral.
GAUGAACGCUGGCGGUAUGCUUAACACAUGCAAGUCGAACGGACUCUUCGGAGUUAGUGGCGGACGGGUGAGUAACGCGUGAGAAUCUGGCUUUGGGUUCGGGACAACCACUGGAAACGGUGGCUAAUACCGGAUGUGCCGAGAGGUAAAAGAGAAAUUGCCUGAAGAUGAGCUCGCGUCUGAUUAGCUAGUUGGUGAGGUAAAGGCUCACCAAGGCAGCGAUCAGUAGCUGGUCUGAGAGGAUGACCAGCCACACUGGGACUGAGACACGGCCCAGACUCCUACGGGAGGCAGCAGUGGGGAAUUAUCCGCAAUGGGCGAAAGCCUGACGGAGCAAUACCGCGUGAGGGAAGAAGGCUCUUGGGUUGUAAACCUCUUUUCUUAGGGAAGAACAAAAUGACGGAACCUAAGGAAUCAGCAUCGGCUAACCCCGUG